AUAAAUUUAUCUCACACUGAUCUUGUAACAAAGAUCGACAACAAACACCGAAACACGGUGACAUUCAUAAUUACAUAACAGAAAAAUCCUGCCUGCAAGGUCAGUAGCCAACCUUCUGCUCUCCGCCCACGUUACAUUCUUCCAGCAAAGUUAUGAGGUCGUGCUCAGGGGCGCUGAUCGACGGCAAUAUGGCGCGUCUACGAGGCCCUGCCGGCGGUUUGGUUCCACUGGCUUCCGAUUCGAGCGGCGAUCUUUCAUUCACGACAGGCAAGUCAGACACCACCAUCCUUGCGCUUGCAGAAGACAAUCGUUCCUUCCAUACUCUUGCGUCAUUCAGUAUUGAACGUUCAGGUACUGGGCAUUUAACAGGUUGAUCUCGGUCGACAGGUUCGGCAGGCCGCUCGACUGGCUUAAAUUCGACAGCAGCUUCAAUACCAUGAGCAGGAGAGGUAGGACUUGUAUCUGUAACCUCCAUAUUCUCGGGUGACAUUUCCCGCAAUACAACCGCACUCUGAGCUCGCCGGUGGCCGCUCCGGCUACUGGAGAACCGAGACAAGAUUCCCG
This 564-nucleotide unclassified non-coding RNA is filed under the name Hevea brasiliensis (rubber tree). Lineage: Eukaryota; Viridiplantae; Streptophyta; Magnoliopsida; Malpighiales; Euphorbiaceae. The record is from RNAcentral.